Molecule: ribosomal RNA, 465 nt
Filed under: Filifactor villosus
Lineage: Bacteria; Bacillati; Bacillota; Clostridia; Peptostreptococcales; Filifactoraceae
Description: bacterial SSU rRNA
Rfam family: Bacterial small subunit ribosomal RNA
Source: RNAcentral
GAGUUUGAUUCUGGCUCAGGAUGAACGCUGGCGGCGUGCUUAACACAUGCAAGUCGAACGGGCGAAUUAUAUCGGAGGUCUUCGGGCCGAAGAGAUAAUAAGCUAGUGGCGGACGGGUGCGUAACGUGUGGGUAAUCUGCCUUUGUCAUAGGAAUAACUGCUUGAAAAAGUAGCUAAUACCAAAUAACAUAUCGUAUAGGCAUCUAUAAGAUAUCAAAGAGAAAUCGGACAAAGAUGAGCCCGCAUCUGAUUAGCUGGUUGGUAGGGUAAAAGCCUACCAAGGCGACGAUCAGUAGCCGGCCUGAGAGGGUGAACGGCCACAUUGGAACUGAGACACGGUCCAAACUCCUACGGGAGGCAGCAGUGGGGAAUAUUGCACAAUGGGGGGAACCCUGAUGCAGCAACGCCGCGUGAGUGAAGAAGGCUUUCGAGUCGUAAAACUCUGUUGUAAGGGAAGAUAAUGAC